This 358-nucleotide transfer-messenger RNA is filed under the name chicken gut metagenome. It matches the Rfam family "transfer-messenger RNA". From Rfam's summary of the family: Bacterial tmRNA, also known as 10Sa RNA or SsrA, is named for its dual tRNA and mRNA-like properties. Its role is to liberate the mRNA from a stalled ribosome. The record is from RNAcentral.
GGGGAUGUCAAGGUUUCGACGGGGGUCGUUGAGGCUUUGGGAGCCAUCCGCAGGUUGGACUGCGUAACAACCAAACCUAAAUAUAAACGCAAACAAUAACGAAGACGCUUACGCGUUAGCUGCCUAAUUUAGCGCAGCCGUCUCGCCCGGAGCUCCUACUCUCCGGAUCCGGGGUGUAAUCAUAACGUAGGGAACUUUUCGCCCUAAGCUUUGCGGGCGAUAAAGAAUUCAUGAAGCUACUAACGCGCUGAUCCUGUCGGCAGGAGCGGCGCCGCGGGAAGUUUAAAUUACCGACUAUGAUGGUAGGGCCCGGAGCGGAUGGGCUUUCGGACAGGAGUUCGAUUCUCCUCAUCUCCAU